Molecule: ribosomal RNA, 497 nt
Filed under: uncultured bacterium
Lineage: Bacteria
Description: partial 16S ribosomal RNA
Rfam family: Bacterial small subunit ribosomal RNA
Source: RNAcentral
GAUGAACGCUGGCGGCGUGCCUAAUACAUGCAAGUCGAGCGAACGGACGAGAAGCUUGCUUCUCUGAUGUUAGCGGCGGACGGGUGAGUAACACGUGGAUAACCUACCUAUAAGACUGGGAUAACUUCGGGAAACCGUAGCUAAUACCGGAUAAUAUUUUGAACCGCAUGGUUCAAAAGUGAAAGACGGUCUUGCUGUCACUUAUAGAUGUAUCCGCGCUGCAUUAGCUAGUUGGUAAGGUAACGGCUUACCAAGUCAACGAUGUAUAGCCGACCUGAGAGGGUGAUAGGCCACACUGGAACUGAGCCAGGGUCCCGACUACUGAGGGAGGCAGCAGUAGGGUAUCUUCCGCAGUAGGCGAGAGCAUGACGGAGCAACGCCACGUGAGUGAUGAAGGUGUUGGGAUAGUAAAACUCUGUUAUUAGGGAAGAACAUAUGUGUAAGUAACUGUGCACAUCUUGACGGUACCUAAUAAGAAAGCCACGGCUAACUACGUG